AUUGAACGCUGGCGGCAGGCCUAACACAUGCAAGUCGGACGGUAGCACAGAGGAGCUUGCUCCUCGGGUGACAAGUGGCGGACGGGUGAGUAAUGUCUGGGGAUCUGCCCGAUAGAGGGGGAUAACCACUGGAAACGGUGGCUAAUACCGCAUAACGUCGCAAGACCAAAGAGGGGGACCUUCGGGCCUCUCACUAUCGGAUGAACCCAGAUGGGAUUAGCUAGUAGGCGGGGUAAUGGCCCACCUAGGCGACGAUCCCUAGCUGGUCUGAGAGGAUGACCAGCCACACUGGAACUGAGACACGGUCCAGACUCCUACGGGAGGCAGCAGUGGGGAAUAUUGCACAAUGGGCGCAAGCCUGAUGCAGCCAGGCCGCGUGUAUGAAGAAGGCCUUCGGGUUGUAAAGUACUUUCAGCGGGGAGGAAGGCGGUGAGGUUAAUAACCUCGCCGAUUGACGUUACCCGCAGAAGAAGCACCGGCUAACUCCGUGCCAGCAGCAGCCGCAG
This 506-nucleotide ribosomal RNA is filed under the name uncultured bacterium. RNAcentral's name for it is "partial 16S ribosomal RNA". It matches the Rfam family "Bacterial small subunit ribosomal RNA", at positions 29 to 523 of the family's 1533-position model. The record is from RNAcentral.